UCUCAAUAAAAAUUCGUUCACAACAAAAAGCUAUAAUCUCGCCUUUAUAUACGACCCAUCAUGUCACUCUUUUCUCCCUAUGCUCACUCUCACUCUCACUCACUCACACUCUAUUCUUCUAACUCUUCCUUCAUUCAACAGAAAUGGGCUCCAUAAGGGUACCUCGUGGGGCGGCAGAGGAUGCUUGCUCCGUCCUACUAGACGGUGGUGGUGUUUGGUGCAAGGGUAUUUCAGUAAAUAUAGGUAAAAGGUGACGCCGAAUAAAAACCAACAAAAGAAAAAGGCUUUGCAAUUGCACUCUCCCGAGUUUCUAAUUUGCAGAAUUGGGAGAGUGUUAUCGUUGCAUUGCGGGGAAUUGAGGGUAGCGGUCCGAAUCUGCCUUUCAUUACUUUAAUUACUAUUAGGUCCUUCAUUUUCUAUUAUUAUUACUUGUUUGCUUUUGUGUUAAUUAUGUUUUUGAUGUUUGUUAUGAUGAUGGAAUCGUGUGGGAUGGAUGUAAGAGAUGCAUACGAGGUUGCUUCAAGGUUAUUUGGUUUGGUCAAAUGGGUAUUAUGGGAAUUUAUGCGUUAAAGGCUUGGAUUGGUUAGUUUUAGGACUCAAUGCUACUGGCAUGCAUCGCUUACACCCAUCAAUGUAUUUUGCUUUUUUAUAUAUGGAUUUUGAUUUUACAUUAUUGCUUUGCUUUCAUUUGGAUCAUCAGCUUUUGAUUUCU
RNAcentral lists this long non-coding RNA (712 nucleotides) under Arachis ipaensis. Its description in RNAcentral is "long non-coding RNA (AIPA_LNC002337)". Lineage: Eukaryota; Viridiplantae; Streptophyta; Magnoliopsida; Fabales; Fabaceae. The record is from RNAcentral.